This 301-nucleotide ribosomal RNA is filed under the name uncultured bacterium. Its description in RNAcentral is "partial 16S ribosomal RNA". It matches the Rfam family "Bacterial small subunit ribosomal RNA", at positions 509 to 808 of the family's 1533-position model. The record is from RNAcentral.
CAGUAGCCGCGGGAAUACGUAUGUCACAAGCGUUAUCCGGAUUUAUUGGGCGUAAAGCGCGUCUAGGUGGUUAUGUAAGUCAGAUGUGAAAAUGCAGGGCUCAACUCUGUAUUGCGUUGGAAACUGUAUAACUAGAGUACUGGAGAGGUAAGCGGAACUACAAGUGUAGAGGUGAAAUUCGUAGAUAUUUGUAGGAAUGCCGAUGGGGAAGCCAGCUUACUGGACAGAUACUGACGCUGAAGCGCGAAAGCGUGGGUAGCAAACAGGAUUAGAUACCCCAGUAGUCCCUGUCUCUUAUACA